Molecule: unclassified non-coding RNA, 189 nt
Filed under: uncultured fungus
Lineage: Eukaryota; Fungi
Description: sequence contains ITS1
Source: RNAcentral
UUAACUAUUACAUAGUACUCAGACGACAUAAUAAAAGAGUUUUGGGGUCCUCUGGCAGGCACUUACCAGCUAAAGCCGGUAGCCGAAGCGGCCUACCAAAGCAACAAAGGUAUAGUAUUCAAGGGUGGGAGAUCUACCCGAUAGGGCAUGAACUCUGUAAUGAUCCUUCCGCAGGUUCACCUACGGAAA